RNAcentral lists this ribosomal RNA (504 nucleotides) under uncultured bacterium. RNAcentral describes it as "partial 16S ribosomal RNA". It matches the Rfam family "Bacterial small subunit ribosomal RNA", at positions 29 to 523 of the family's 1533-position model. The record is from RNAcentral.
AUUGAACGCUGGCGGCAGGCCUAACACAUGCAAGUCGAGCGGUAGCACAGAGAGCUUGCUCUCGGGUGACGAGCGGCGGACGGGUGAGUAAUGUCUGGGAAACUGCCUGAUGGAGGGGGAUAACUACUGGAAACGGUAGCUAAUACCGCAUAACGUCGCAAGACCAACGUGGGGGACCUGCGGGCCACAUGCCAUCAGAUGUGCCCAGAUGGGAUUAGCUGGUAGGUGGGGUAACGGCUCACCUAGGCGACGAUCCCUAGCUGGGCUGAGAGGAUGACCAGCCACACUGGAACUGAGACACGGUCCAGACUCCUACGGGAGGCAGCAGUGGGGAAUAUUGCACAAUGGGCGCAAGCCUGAUGCAGCCAUGCCGCGUGUGUGAAGAAGGCCUUCGGGUUGUAAAGCACUUUCAGCGGGGAGGAAGGCGGUGAGGUUAAUAACCUCAUCGAUUGACGUUACCCGCAGAAGAAGCACCGGCUAACUCCGUGCCAGCCGCCGCCGUAA